AAUUUCAAAAUGUUUAAAAAAUAAAUAUAACAAUUUUCUCAACAGCCGUAACUCGCUUUAAACAGCUACAAUUUGAUCUCUGAAGGAAGAGGCGCAAAAUACAAUUAACGAUUAAACGAACUUACCUAAGUGAAGUUCAAUCGUGAUUGUAUGAGCGCCUCUUCCGAAGAGAUCAGUCCCGCCCACCCAUUAAUCUCGUAUGAGAUACCCAAAAUAUAUCUGUUACGGCUUAGAAAAUAGAACUUUAAAAAAAUGAGAAUAAACAACGGAGCAGGAUAUGGGUUGCAUAGCAACCCGGGAAAAAAGCUUGCUUUAAAACUUGUGGCGACAAAUGAGGGAAGUGAGGGAGAUCGGAAGAUCGUCGUGAUAGG
RNAcentral lists this long non-coding RNA (371 nucleotides) under Neodiprion pinetum (white pine sawfly). Its description in RNAcentral is "uncharacterized LOC124210648, transcript variant X2". The record is from RNAcentral. Lineage: Eukaryota; Metazoa; Arthropoda; Insecta; Hymenoptera; Diprionidae.